GCUGCAUGGCUGUCGUCAGCUCGUGUCGUGAGAUGUUGGUUAAGUCCCGCAACGAGCGCAACCCUUAUCUUUAAUUGCCAGCAUUCAGUUGGGCACUUUAAAGAGACUGCCGGUGUUAAACCGGAGGAAGGUGGGGAUGACGUCAAGUCCUCAUGGCCUUUAUGCUUAGGGCUACACACGUGCUACAAUGGGUGGUACAAAGAGAAGCCAACUCGCGAGAGCGCGCCAAUCUCAAAAAGCCAUCCUCAGUUCGGAUUGGAGUCUGCAACUCGACUCCAUGAAGUUGGAAUCGCUAGUAAUCGCGGAUCAGCAUGCCGCGGUCGAAUACGUUCCCGGGCCUU
This 341-nucleotide ribosomal RNA is filed under the name uncultured Smithella sp. RNAcentral's name for it is "bacterial SSU rRNA". It matches the Rfam family "Bacterial small subunit ribosomal RNA", at positions 1040 to 1382 of the family's 1533-position model. Lineage: Bacteria; Pseudomonadati; Thermodesulfobacteriota; Syntrophia; Syntrophales; Smithellaceae. The record is from RNAcentral.